GUGCCAGCAGCCGCGGUAAUACGAAGGGUGCAAGCGUUACUCGGAAUUACUGGGCGUAAAGCGUGCGUAGGUGGUUUGUUAAGUCUGAUGUGAAAGCCCUGGGCUCGACCUGGGAAUUGCACUGGAUACUGGCAGGCUAGAGUGCGGUAGAGGAUGGCGGAAUUCCUGGUGUAGCAGUGAGAUGCGUAGAGAUCAGGAGGAACAUCCGUGGCGAAGGCGGCCAUCUGGACCAGCACUGACACUGAGGCACGAAAGCGUGGGGAGCAAACAGGAUUAGAAACCCGCGUAGUCC
Molecule: ribosomal RNA, 292 nt
Filed under: uncultured prokaryote
Description: partial 16S ribosomal RNA
Rfam family: Bacterial small subunit ribosomal RNA
Source: RNAcentral